RNAcentral lists this long non-coding RNA (235 nucleotides) under Nicotiana benthamiana. RNAcentral's name for it is "long non-coding RNA (NBEN_LNC001470)". Lineage: Eukaryota; Viridiplantae; Streptophyta; Magnoliopsida; Solanales; Solanaceae. The record is from RNAcentral.
ACGUGCCUUCCUUUCUCUUGCUUUAGCUAAACUGAAUAACUUCUUAUCCCCGCCUCUCUCCCCUAGUUCCUCAUACAUGCGACCGAACGACGCAUUUUUAGCUUCCGUGACUGCCAUCUUUGCUUCUUUCCUCGCCUCAUUGUAGAUCACCAUGUUCGCUCUCCGUUCUUCUUCGCUUGUGCUCCCUGCCAACCUAGCGUACGCCGCCUUCUUCACCUCCACUUUUCCUUUGACU